RNAcentral lists this ribosomal RNA (253 nucleotides) under uncultured bacterium. RNAcentral describes it as "partial 16S ribosomal RNA". It matches the Rfam family "Bacterial small subunit ribosomal RNA", at positions 524 to 776 of the family's 1533-position model. The record is from RNAcentral.
UACGAAGGGGGCUAGCGUUGUUCGGAAUUACUGGGCGUAAAGGGCGCGUAGGCGGCGUGUCAAGUCAGGCGUGAAAGCCCCGGGCUCAACCUGGGAAUGGCAUUGGAAACUGGCGGACUCGAGUGUGGCAGAGGGGGGUGGAAUUCCGCGUGUAGCAGUGAAAUGCGUAGAGAUGCGGAGGAACACCGAUGGCGAAGGCAGCCCCCUGGGCUAACACUGACGCUCAGGCACGAAAGCGUGGGGAGCAAACAGG